AGGUCUUGACAUCCCUGACAACCAAGAGAUUGGCGUUCCCCUCGGGGGACAGGGUGACAGGUGGUGCAUGGUUGUCGUCAGCUCGUGUCGUGAGAUGUUGGGUUAAGUCCCGCAACGAGCGCAACCCUCGCCUCUAGUUGCCAGCAUUCGGUUGGGCACUCUAGAGGGACUGCCGGCGACAAGUCGGAGGAAGGUGGGAUGACGUCAAAUCAUCAUGCCCCUUAUGACCUGGGCUACACACGUGCUACAAUGGGCGGUACAAAGGGCUGCGAACCCGCGAGGGGGAGCGAAUCCCAAAAAGCCGCUCUCAGUUCGGAUUGCAGGCUGCAACUCGCCUGCAUGAAGCCGGAAUCGCUAGUAAUCGCGGAUCAGCAUGCCGCGGUGAAUACGUUCCCGGGCCUU
RNAcentral lists this ribosomal RNA (402 nucleotides) under uncultured Geobacillus sp. Its description in RNAcentral is "bacterial SSU rRNA". It matches the Rfam family "Bacterial small subunit ribosomal RNA", at positions 976 to 1382 of the family's 1533-position model. The record is from RNAcentral. Lineage: Bacteria; Bacillati; Bacillota; Bacilli; Caryophanales; Anoxybacillaceae.